This 258-nucleotide ribosomal RNA is filed under the name uncultured bacterium. Its description in RNAcentral is "partial 16S ribosomal RNA". It matches the Rfam family "Bacterial small subunit ribosomal RNA", at positions 15 to 265 of the family's 1533-position model. The record is from RNAcentral.
GAUCCUGGCUCAGGAUGAACGCUAGCUACAGGCUUAACACAUGCAAGUCGAGGGGCAUCGGGAAGGAAGCUUGCUUUCUUUGCCGGCGACCGGCGCACGGGUGAGUAACACGUAUCCAACCUGCCCUUUACUCGGGGAUAGCCUUUCGAAAGAAAGAUUAAUACCCGAUGGCAUAAUGAUUCCGCAUGGUUUCAUUAUUAAAGGAUUCCGGUAAAGGAUGGGGAUGCGUUCCAUUAGGUUGUUGGUGAGGUAACGGCU